UGGGGAAUAUUGGACAAUGGGCGAAAGCCUGAUCCAGCCAUGCCGCAUGAGUGAAGAAGGCCUUUGGGUUGUAAAGCUCUUUUAGUGAGGAAGAUAAUGACGGUACUCACAGAAGAAGUCCUGGCUAACUCCGUGCCAGCAGCCGCGGUAAUACGGAGAGGGCUAGCGUUAUUCGGAAUUAUUGGGCGUAAAGGGCGCGUAGGCUGGUUAAUAAGUUAAAAGUGAAAUCCCGAGGCUUAACCUUGGAAUUGCUUUUAAAACUAUUAAUCUAGAGAUUGAAAGAGGAUAGAGGAAUUUCUGAUGUAGAGGUAAAAUUCGUAAAUAUUAGGAGGAACACCAGUGGCGAAGGCGUCUAUCUGGUUCAAAUCUGACGCUGAAGCGCGAAGGCGUGGGGAGCAAACA
RNAcentral lists this ribosomal RNA (402 nucleotides) under uncultured bacterium. RNAcentral's name for it is "partial 16S ribosomal RNA". It matches the Rfam family "Bacterial small subunit ribosomal RNA", at positions 355 to 774 of the family's 1533-position model. The record is from RNAcentral.